This 629-nucleotide ribosomal RNA is filed under the name Gyrodontium sacchari. RNAcentral's name for it is "LSU rRNA". It matches the Rfam family "Eukaryotic large subunit ribosomal RNA", at positions 34 to 630 of the family's 3401-position model. The record is from RNAcentral. Lineage: Eukaryota; Fungi; Basidiomycota; Agaricomycetes; Boletales; Coniophoraceae.
UUAAGCAUAUCAAUAAGCGGAGGAAAAGAAACUAACAAGGAUUCCCCUAGUAACUGCGAGUGAAGCGGGAAGAGCUCAAAUUUUGAAUCUGGCAGCCUUUAGGCUGUCCGAGUUGUAAUCUAGAGAAGCGCUUUCCGCGCUGGACCGUGUACAAGUCUCCUGGAACGGAGCAUCAUAGAGGGUGAGAAUCCCGUCUCUGACACGGACUGCCAGUGCUUUGUGAUGCGCUCUCGACGAGUCGAGUUGUUUGGGAAUGCAGCUCUAAUUGGGUGGUAAAUUCCAUCUAAAGCUAAAUACAGGCGAGAGACCGAUAGCGAACAAGUACCGUGAGGGAAAGAUGAAAAGAACUUUGGAAAGAGAGUUAAACAGUACGUGAAAUUGCUGAAAGGGAAACGCUUGAAGUCAGUCACGUUGGCUGGGGAUCAGCCUGGCUCUUUUGCUUGGUGCAUUUCCUAGUUUGACGGGUCAGCAUCAAUUUCGAUUGCUGGACAAGGUCGGGGGGAAUGUGGCAUCUUUCGGGAUGUGUUAUAGCCCUCUGUCGCAUACGGUGGUCGGGAUUGAGGGAAAACUCAGCACGACCUCAAGGGGUUUGGGGCUUCGGCUCACAUUUGCGUGCUUAGGAUGUUGGC